Non-coding RNA from Oryctolagus cuniculus (rabbit), 3400 nucleotides. The record is from RefSeq and is a predicted model, not a curated record. NCBI's taxonomy places the organism in Eukaryota, Metazoa, Chordata, Mammalia, Lagomorpha, Leporidae.
UUCUAGACAUCAUUCACCCACUGCUCAUAUGAAAAUAAAAAUCUUCUUACCAAAAAGUGCAUAGCAUUGCACCAAUAUCUUCUAUAAUCUGUUCAUUUUAUUUUAAUGUGGCUCUUAACAUACUAGAUAAUUUUUGUGUGAUCUGCUCUUAAGAAUGCUUGUAGAAACUUACACAUUGAAGCACCUGUAUUUCUUCAAAAAGGAAGUUAGGAUGAAUUUUAUGUCUCGUUCUGCACAAUUAUAAUGUGAACUUCCAAAGAGAUUCCCAGUUAUUAUACACUGAGGCCAUGUUUAGGUAAUAAGAAAGUUAGUUUACUGAAAAAUUAAGCUUUAAUAUAGAUUUAGAAUCACUGAGUUGAAAACUGAUUACCCAUUAAGAGUCAGCUAAUCCUGAAGUGAAAACUCUAAUGUCUGCAGACAUCAGGCAGGCAUCUUAAAUGAGUGAAGCUCUUGGGUAGGGACAAUGGUGAACUGGCACAUGUGUACAUCCUUUACAGGACACUGCCACACGAACUUGCAGCCAACUUUUGCCAUGAUAGAAUGCAGUCAAGGAAAGACAGAGAUUCUCAUUUUCAUUAGUAGCUAGGAAUCUACAUUUUUGCUAGCAUAUUCUUGAUUUUAAAAAUACAUAUUUAUUUCUAAUGACUUCACAAAAAUUUUAACAUUUCACAUGUUAAUCAGCAAAACCAAAAAUAUGUGAACCAACAUGUCCCCAGUUUAUGGAUUGCUGUUGACCCAUUUAUUGAUCCAGUACCAACAUUUUACAGUUGAUGAUAUUAAGGUCUAAUUCAAGUGACCAUCAUACCUUAGUGGUCAAACAGAAACUAGACAUUCUAUAUACAGGGAGUUAAAACUACUCCUUUUGAUUCAGAUCCCAUUAUGACCAAUAUAUCUACACAAUAUUGAGCAAAUUUCUUGAUUUCUCUGACCUUGAGCUUCCCAAUGUAUGAAACAGAGAUAGUGAUAGUACUUAGAUCAUAAGUUUGUUGAAGGGAUAAUGUGAAGUAUGAAUAAUGUGUAAAGAGGACUUAGCAGAAUGCCUGGCCAAAGAAAGCAUUUGAUAAAUGGGAAUUACAGUCAUGGUCAUUGGAAUGGUCAUUCUAAAGCUUCCUGGAAAGAAAGAAAGAAUCUUAAUGGGAAAGCCUAAUCUGAUUAUUCAAAAGUUAGAACUAUAAAUAUUUUUUACUGCUUUGAUAGUUAAUAUUAGGGAAUGUCUCUGUCAUCUGCAGUUCAGGGAAGAAAAGAAGAGGAAGAGUGGAAAGAGAGAAAAAAGGAGGAAGGGAGCAGGCGGAGGGGACAUCCCUAAGGAGCACUGUAUUCUCAAGGGACCAGCUUACAAACUCGUAUCCAAAAGCUGUGGCCAUCGCGUUCAAGAGCGGAGGGAAGGAAACACAGUCUUGGAAGUGGAGAGGACUAGAUAACUCAAACCAAAAACAGGAAGUCAACAUGUCUACCCUCCCUCUGAUUUGCGGCAGAAUUAAGAGAGGGAUGAAGUCUCAUACACGUGGGAGUAUCUGCAGUGCAGGACUUAGAACUCGGACCUGAGAAGGAGGCUAGUUAGACUGACAGAAGGGAGCACGGAGAGCAGAGGGGCCCUUUUCCAGUUCCCUGUCUGCGAGAUGCAUUGGUAGAAAGGGUUCUGAGUUCAUUUCAUGUGAUUGCAGCAUAUGUACAUGGGCAUCGCCAGAAAAACUGAAGAUCUGAGUUUGCUAAUCAUUCUUUGUUUUCCAUAUGGCAUAGACAUCAAGGUGAAAUUCAGGGAGCCCAUUAUUGAAGCUGCCAUCGUCAGAGCAAGAUAGCUUGACAGCAGCGGCUUUGGGGCGAUCCACAUGAGGCAGAGGCAGAGAAUGGAUGUCACAGGGACUCAGAGGAGUCAUCCAAACCCAUGAAGGACAAGGGCAGGUGAAGUCAUAAGAGAAGGUCGUCUGUAGUUCUGAGACCUUGGCAAAGUUUUAUUAUGAGUGCAUCCAACAAGGACAUCAACAGCGGAUUUCAGCAGAUUCUUUAGGAUCAGAACUAGUUGAGUCAAAAUGUAGUGGAGCUCAGUUUACAUUCAUCACACAUAUUCCUGCCAACUCCAGAAACUCUGUGGCCCCUUCCCACUGGCCACCAUCUUGGAAACCAGUCAGGAGAACUUAAAGCAAUCUGAAACACCAAGCAGUGGUCCAAAAAAAUCAAGUCAAAGCUAAAGAAACGCAUCAAUUGUUUUGUUUCACUUUGCUUUAGAUGAGAGUAGGCUUAGUUGUCUUUGUUUUUAUACCCUCUACCCAACAGAUAGACUCUUUGUUUUAAAGAUUUAUCUAUUUUAUUUGAAAGGCAGAGUUAUAGAGAGAGGGAGGCAGACACCCAUCUUCCAUCUGCUGGUUCUCUCAAAUGACCAGAAUGGCUGGGGCUGGGCCAGGCAGAAGCCAGGAACCUGGAACUCCAUCCAAGUCUCCUAUGUGGAUGGCAGAGGCCUAAGAACUUGAGACAUCUUCCACUGCUUUCCCAGGCACAUUAUCAGGGAGCUGGAUCAGAAGUGGAGAAACCAGAAAUCGAGCUGGUGCCCAUACAAGAUGCCAGGGCUACCCACUAUGCCACAGUGCUGGCCCAAAUAUAUUGCUUUUUGAUAUACCAAAUUUUAUGUGUAGAUUUCAGUUCCAGAUUGUAAGGUUUUUUUUUUCUUCUUCCUUCUCAACCAAUAACACUUUAGUAAUUUGGUGUCUUUAGGUAGUUAUAAAAGGCUUAGAGUACAAAGUUAUGAGAUUAAAUAGAAAGAGCUGUGAGUGGUUGUGCAAAUUGCUCAUUAAAACUGAUCACCUUUUUCAGUGCUGGCAAGUCUUCACGGAGUAGAGAAUAACUCCACCAGCAUAUGCAGCUGACACUGUCCAUCACCUGACCGGACUGAAAAAAAUCGCCUUUGAUCUCUGGAUACUGAAGAUGACUGACACCCUGAACCUGAAGAUACCGAGAGCUGUGAUAGAAGUCAUUGCAGGGUGAAUAUGAAGGAGGAGAGCAGUGUCCUGGGGACCAUAUGGCUGCAGGAACUGGGCCAGUCUGAAGCCAGGAGCCAGGAACUCCAUCUUGGUCUCCCACGUGGGUUGCAGAGGCCAAGUACUUGCCCUAUCCUCUGCUGCCUUCCCAGCUGCAUUAGCAGGGAGCUGGAUUGGAAGUGGAACCACCAGGACUCAAACCAGCACUCCAAUAUGGCAUGCCAGCAUCACAAGGAGUAAGUAAACCUACUGCACCAAAAAGCCAGCCCUAAAAUUCUUAUUUACCUAACAAGACUCCACAACUUGAGACCAGCACUUCCAGGCCCACAUCCAUCAGGUGUAUCUUCUACAGAGAGACAGGUAUACUAAACUUGGAAUCAUCUCAGACAUCUGCCCCUGCUGAACAUGCUCAAUCCCUGCAGCAUGGC